GACGAACGCUGGCGGCGUGCUUAACACAUGCAAGUCGAGCGGUAAGGCCCUUUCGGGGGUACACGAGCGGCGAACGGGUGAGUAACACGUGGGUGACCUGCCCUCAGCUCUGGGAUAAGCCUGGGAAACCGGGUCUAAUACUGGAUAUGACUCCAUGACGCAUGUUGUGGGGUGGAAAGCCUUGUGCGGCUGAGGAUGGGCCCGCGGCCUAUCAGCUUGUUGGUGGGGUGANGGCCUACCAAGGCGACGACGGGUAGCCGGCCUGAGAGGGCGACCGGCCACACUGGGACUGAGACACGGCCCAGACUCCUACGGGAGGCAGCAGUGGGGAAUCUUGCGCAAUGGGCGAAAGCCUGACGCAGCGACGCCGCGUGAGGG
This 378-nucleotide ribosomal RNA is filed under the name uncultured bacterium. RNAcentral describes it as "bacterial SSU rRNA". It matches the Rfam family "Bacterial small subunit ribosomal RNA", at positions 28 to 407 of the family's 1533-position model. The record is from RNAcentral.